Styela clava is the source of this 1189-nucleotide long non-coding RNA. RefSeq lists it as uncharacterized. NCBI's taxonomy places the organism in Eukaryota, Metazoa, Chordata, Ascidiacea, Stolidobranchia, Styelidae. The record is from RefSeq and is a predicted model, not a curated record.
GGUCCAUUGAGGUGUAUAUAUACACCUCAAUGCUAAGGCCCAAUGUUACUCAAUAGCACAGCUUUUGUGCACCGAUCGGCCGGUUAGGUGGCGCUCCAGAGGAUUGUUUAUCAUGGUGUGUGGUAUUUUCGACAAGAUCCUGAGAAGCCUGGAAACAUCGGUCAUAAAUGAAGAACGCCGAUUGGUGUCAAAUAAAUGAACAUGGCAUCGAUUGGGUCAAGCAGCUCGCGGUGAACUGGAAUUGCAAGAGUGUACAAUGCUAAUGAUAUUCUUGUCAUUUUGAACUGUGAUGACAAUGAUGUGGAGGCACUAGUAGUGGGUCAGAUAGUGAAUACGAUAUCAGAGAAGACAAAAACAACGGCUCCCAGGUUGAGUCCGAAAGUUCUGACGACGAUGUUCCUUCCUUGACAAGUCUACGAGUGCAAAAUCAAAAACAAAAGCCAAAUAAAUAAUGCAACCGACGGCAAUCAGUUUCGGUGGAGAAAGAAACAAUUCAAUAGACCCGAUGCAACAUCAGACGAUGGGACAGACGAACGAAACAGCAUGUGCACAUAGCCAUGCCUGCUAUCGUGCAAGAAUAGAAUAAGUUUAUGGGAGGUAUUGAUAAUUUGGAUUCAUUUCUUGCAAAGUACAGGUUUCGAAUGAAAUCAAAAAGAUGGUAUCUUUAUCUCUUUUGACAUUUUAUAAUGGUGGCUAUUGUGAAUGCAUAGCUCUGGUACCGUCGUGAUUGUGCCCUGCUCCAUCUUCCAACUUCAUAUAUUAUGAAACGGCGACAUUUUCAAGCAGCAGUCGCAAGCGCUUUGAUCUAUGUCAAUACUGACACCCGUCGCGGGAGACCCUCGUCUGAAGUUGAAGAAAUUCGCAGCCCCGCAAGGAAAAUAUCCAAGGCCCCAUGUGAAGAUAUCCGACGAGACAAAUACGCACACUGGCCAAUGAAAAUUGAGAAAAGGAUAAGAUGCAAAUUGUGUGAACGCAAUCAAACAAAUACCAGCUGUUCAAAGUGUAAAGUGAAACUUUGUUUUGUCGAGGGCCGCAAUUGUUUUUGACUUUCCACGCCUGAGGAAUUGGAACAAUUAGUUAUAUUCUCAGGGAAUCGUUUCUGCAGUUUUUUAAGUUUUUAUUUCAUGCUUGCUUUAUGCGCAAAUGAUUCGCCGAUAUUGCUCUUUGAGUUCGCUCGUUCAAUGUUGGA